This 89-nucleotide microRNA precursor is filed under the name Cyphomyrmex costatus. RNAcentral's name for it is "mir-252 microRNA precursor family". It matches the Rfam family "mir-252 microRNA precursor family". Lineage: Eukaryota; Metazoa; Arthropoda; Insecta; Hymenoptera; Formicidae. The record is from Rfam by way of RNAcentral.
UCCUGUUCCUAAGUACUAGUGCCGCAGGAGUGAUUAGGUUGCAUGAGACAUUACCGUAUCUCCUGCUGCUCAAGUGCUUAUCAACGGGU